CGGGGGCACGGGGGGCCUACGGGAGGCAGCAGUGGGUAAUAUUGGACAAUGGGCGCAAGCCUGAUCCAGCAAUGCCGCGUGAGUGAUGAAGGCCUUCGGGUUGUAAAGCUCUUUCGCACGCGACGAUGAUGACGGUAGCGUGAGAAGAAGCCCCGGCUAACUUCGUGCCAGCACCCGCGGUAAUAAGGCGCGAA
RNAcentral lists this ribosomal RNA (194 nucleotides) under uncultured bacterium. RNAcentral's name for it is "partial 16S ribosomal RNA". It matches the Rfam family "Bacterial small subunit ribosomal RNA", at positions 319 to 537 of the family's 1533-position model. The record is from RNAcentral.